Molecule: long non-coding RNA, 1095 nt
Organism: Oncorhynchus tshawytscha (Chinook salmon)
Lineage: Eukaryota; Metazoa; Chordata; Actinopteri; Salmoniformes; Salmonidae
Source: Ensembl
UAUUUAAAGGGGGGCUCAAGUUCACUGCAUGCUAAUCAUUAAUAAUGAAAUGAGGACAAAACUGUAAUGUGUUGACCUUUUUUUACACAAAAGUAUAACCAACUGAAAUAUUCACUAUCAUCUGAUUCUACCAGCCGAGGGUGCUAGGAGCAUCCGCCGUGAGAGCAGCCGCAGCACUCCACAGCACAUGUUCUAAAAAGGCUUUCAGUCAGCUCCCACGUUGCGUCUCCUGGCCAGGGUGCGCCCUGAGCAGAGAAAGCUCUUCAGCCCGGGCACCAGAGGAGGAUGUUCACAAGCAAAGGAACCUAAUCUUUCCCAGCAGGGAUCCAAGCGGCUCUUUUGGACCAAUGCAGGUGUUCUUGAUCUCUGUGCUGCACACCGUGGGUGACUGUGUAAACAUCCGGGACUCAUUCAGGAACUGACCAGACCACCACCAUCACUGUACCCUGGCCUAGUCAGAGCACGGUUCAUUUGCAUAUCCUGUUUCAUGACUAUUGCCUAUUGUCAGUGGCCUGGUGAUAAGUGGGGCACCUAUCUGAUGGACUUUACUGUUCUGAGAGAUCCAGAUGGCGGGAGCAGAUCCUGAGCGAUACCACAAUCUGCGGCUUUUUUAAGGAAUAACAAGAGACAUGCCAGGUGUUAAGUAGCCAUGAUUUUGCGUGUCAGUGAUUCCAAAGCAGAUAAUCAGAACACUGAUAAAGUGAGAGACAGAGAUAGCAGUAUGUAGACGUGGUUACUGUAAAGACCUCUGCUGGCUCAGCAUUUUACAACCCCUCAGAGGGCUUGGACAAGAACCAAAAGGAAUUUUUGAGUCUAGCAUUAAAUACAGUGAUGGAAAUAACUAAGCAUCACAAAGGAAAACUGCUACAGUACAUGUGGCUCUGUAGUCAGAGCCAUUAUUCCAUUAAGUAGCACUUGUAAAUACCAGCAUUAAAAUCAUUACAAUAUUAUCUUAGAUGACUCCAUCAUUCAAGCCGUCUUAAUGUACCUUCCCUCUCUGUGUGAGAAACCCUGUGAGAGUGGUAUGAGUCAGUCAUAAUGGUCAAUAUGUUUGUAUUAAUUCCCUGUUGACACUCAUACUUUAAGUAUUUGCUC